CACUUCUCAAGACCUUAUCUCGUGAAACCUAAGAUGAGCACAGCUGUGCUUUCAGACAAAGCCUGUCCAACUUCCCAGUUUACUACAGAGAGUUGCUGUGAGGGCCUGGAUCCCUGAAUGGCUGCGUGAAGCCGCACCCCUGCCACCACAUACUGGGCGGUGAUUGUGUUUGGCCUCUGAGAUUUGGGGGUUUUCUGUCACAGCAUUUGGACUCCCCUGACUGGCACGCUAUUGGACCCUUAACUUUUUGGCCAGCAUUGUCUAGCAUGAGGCUGGUCUCCUUAUCCUCCCCUAGGAAUGUGGAUAUGGUGUUCAGGGCCUAGAUGGUCUCUACUGGCUACUUGAAGUUCUGGAGACUUGAAAGCCCAGCAUCAAGUUCCAGCUGACUCAUUUUCUGCAAACUAAUCUUCCUCUGAGCUCCUGUCUUCAGGAAAUCAGACUGCCACCCUUGUCAGGGGUGUCCUGGGAUCGGCGGGAGUAAGGAGCCGGGAAAGCUGGCGUCUAAGGUACAAUUCAACCAGCUAGCUGUGGAUCCUCAGGCAAGUAAGUUCACCUCUCUGAGUCUGAGUGUCCUGGUGUAUAAAGUAGGAAUGAUUGUGCAUGUACGCACACACAUGCCCGAGAUAAUGGGUUACAGUGCUUUGUAGUUUGAGGCAGAGGCUCAGUAUGAGCUAUUGCGCUAAUAAUUGCAACAGAAAACUGAGGCGUAUUUUCACAUUUCUGUUUUGGGUUGUGUCUCCUCUGUGUUCCCUUUCCCUCCAUACGUCUUCUUCUGAAGGUCAAUUCCACAAUCAGUUACCAGAAGUGGCAAGACUGCCGGAGCUGUAAUCCCAGCUAAGAAGUGGCUGGCCAUGGCUCUGAGUGACGGCUUCACAAACCUCACCGCAUUCCGUUCUAUAGCAGUCUCUGAGCUGCGAGCCAGGGCUCUCACCAUCCCCACUAGACAGCUGAGCAUACUGAGGGUCAGACGGAUGAAAGGACGCGCUCAGCAUGCGCCACUGCUAAGCCGCAGAUGAAACCCACACUCAGAUCCAGGACGCAGGAGGGAGGAGCGGCACAGAAAGAAAUAGGAGCUGCCUUCAGGUUCAAAGCACAAUUGUUUUGCUUUUGUUUUUAGACCUCGUGCAAAAUGAACAAAACUCAUCCAGAACGAUGUCCACAGGCCCCUGAUGGCUCCCCAGGCCUCACUGAAGCAGGGAAGGGCAGAGUGAGGCACUGUGGGCAAGAGAAGAGCCCUGCCCUUAUGGAGAGCAGCUGGCCAGACAGACAUUAAACACAUGAUAAUACACAGAAACAUGUGAUUACAGGGAGUGAAGAAUGCAACAAAGAAAUAAUACUUUGAAAUAUCGCCUUCUCUUUCUGGACUUCUUUGGAAUACAGCCAGUCAGAGCAUAGCUCUAAGACCAAGAGUAAGCAAUGCCUUUUGAAAUAUUCUGUUUGAAAUCAGAGCCCUUCCCCACUGCAGUCAAUUGCGGGCACAAAUAUUCCUUUUGUUCACAGACCACAUCCUGUGUUCCCCAGGGCCUCACCCUGAGCUGAUCCCAGGAUGACCUAGAAGAGGUGUGCUGCUUUCUACAUCAAUUUGUCAGGAAGACAAAUCUUUUAGUGUCGGGAAGAAAAGCAGCAAGAUGAAAAAGAAAAAAAAAAGAAGAUAUUUCAAGAUCAGAUUCUUCAUCCUACUUUUCUGACUUGCCAGAAGCUAACGACAUCUUUCCUAGCAGUGACUGGCAACCACUCUGAAAACUUCACCAAAUUAUUACUCCUUUAUUUUUUUGAAAAAACAGGCAAGUGUAUUUAGUUGUCAUUGGUUACAACCAAAUUUCUCUAAAUAUUUCAGUGCAUCUCAAAAUACUAUAUUGAUAAGUUCAAGUCAUAAAAAACUGCAUUAGGAGUUUUGGAAAAUUUACUGGUAGGAUUAUGCAUGUUUUUCUUCCAUUUGAGUUCUCCUCUGAAUGCAUGUUUAUUUAAAGAAAAAUUGUGGUAUUUGGAAGAUUGAAGACUGACUUCUAAACUGUGCUGACUUCAGGAAGACCUACUUUUGGCCAGGCACAGAGGCUCAUGCCUGUAAUCCCAGCACCUUGGGAGGCUGAGGAGGGAGGAUUGCUUGAGCCCAGGAGUUCAAGACAAGCCUAGGUAACACAGCAAGAAAAAUGUUGAAAUUAGCUGAGUAUGGUGGGUCAUGCCUGUAGUCGCAGCUACUUGGAAAGCUGAGACAGGAGAAUGGCUUGAACCAGAGAGGUGGAGGCUGCAGUGAGCUAUGAUCAUGCCCCUGCACUCCAGACUGGGUAACAGAGUGAGACCCCAUCUCCAAAAAAAAAGAAGACCUGCUUUUUUCUCCUUCUAUCCAGUCCCAUCGAAUUAACUGUUCUUGGAAAGGAGGGCACAUCCCAAACUGGGGGGUCACAAGGUGAUUUGUGAGGUACACGUAGCAUCAAAACCACAGAUACACACGCUGACAGAGCUAUUCCUUUUUAGUCCUUUGCUUGGCCCAGGAGAGUCCCCAGUGGGGACUAGUCAAUUUUCAGCACCUCCCCAGUGCUGCCACCACCCUUUUUAAUAGAGAGAGUGAGCAGCUACAGCACCAAACUGGAAUUUCGUAACAUCAGCUUUCAUUAUUUUUAUGACCAUUGCCUUCCACAUAGGUCAAAUGGCACUGGUUUUUCACUUAUGGUCAUGACUUGAAGCUUCCUUUUUAAAAUAACUGUAUGUUUUCAAAAGUGUGUAAAUGUAAAAGAAAGGAUUAAGUAAAUAAUGGCACGAUAUGGCAGGUGAGAUGCAAAUGGCAGGUUUGGGGAAAAGGGCAAUCGAUAAAAAUAAAGGCAGCUUGGCUCUCCCGCUCUCCCAGCGCUGCAGCUCAGAGGAAAACUAAAAUUAAUUCCUUUUGCAGCAUGACGGGGAAAAAAAGCAUCCAGAAGGAAAUUCAUCAAACCAUUAAAAGUGAUCUCCCCCAGGGAAGGGGCUUGCAGGCAGGGGGAACACAUUCACAUUUCGCUUUAAACACAUCUGGAUUAUUUGAAUUUUUGUAUUGCAUAGAAGUUAACCCUUUGUCUGACUUCUUGGUUAUAAAUGUUUUUCUUGGAAUGCCUUUUGUUUAUUGCCUUUGUGAUCUCUUGGGCAGGCAAAACUUCUCAACUUCAUAAAAUAAAAUAAAAAAUCCAUCUUUUCUUUAUAGCUUCUGGGUUUCCAGUCUCCCUGGCCCCUAGAUUGUAACUGCAGUAUCACACAUUUCUUGCAAUACUAUUAUGAUUAUUGUGUUACUUGUAAGUAUUUAAUUCCUCUAGAGUUGAUUUCUGUAUCCAUGGACCAUUGGUUCCAUUUUCAUGUUCUCCCAUUUGUCAAAGGGUUCAUCCAUCCUCCUGUCUUGAACAUCAGCUCUCUCCGUAUAUACCUUCUGAGUUAUAAGGACAGUUCCACUUCACUUCCUGCUUCACUAAUCUAGUCCCUGUCACGACACCAAAACUGACUUGGUUACAGGACCUUUAGAGCCUAUACUAAUACCUGGAUAGGUAAAUCCUCCAUCACUCUUCUCAUUUUCCACAUUUCCUAGCUAUUCUGAGGGCAUCUCUUCUUCCAUAGGAACUCUAAGAUUAUAUUUUUAUUUGAGUAUGCAUUAUUUCAAUAAUUUAAAAAAUAAAAUAUUUUAUUAUUAAAAAGGUGGCCAGGUGUGGUGGCUUAUGCCUGUAACUCCAGCACUUUGGGAGGCCAAGUCGGGUGGAUCACUUGAGGUCAGGAGUUCGAGACCAACCUGGCCAACAUGGCGAAACCCUGUGUCUACUAAAAAUACAAAAAUUAGCUGGGUGUGGUGGCGAGCGCCUGUAAUUCCAGCUACUCAGGAGGCUGAGGCAAGAGAAUUGCUUGAACCUGGGAGGCGGAGGUUGCAGUGAGCCGAGAUUGUGC
This 3897-nucleotide long non-coding RNA is filed under the name Homo sapiens (human). Its description in RNAcentral is "HSALNT0269681". The record is from RNAcentral. Lineage: Eukaryota; Metazoa; Chordata; Mammalia; Primates; Hominidae.